RNAcentral lists this ribosomal RNA (877 nucleotides) under uncultured bacterium. RNAcentral describes it as "bacterial SSU rRNA". It matches the Rfam family "Bacterial small subunit ribosomal RNA", at positions 8 to 916 of the family's 1533-position model. The record is from RNAcentral.
AGAGUUUGAUCAUGGCUCAGGACGAACGCUGGCGGCGUGCCUAACACAUGCAAGUCAAGGGGUAGUAAUACCACUGGCGCACGGGUGAGUAACGCGUAGGUAAUCUGCCCUUAUCCCUGGCAUAACAUCGAGAAAUCGGUGCUAACACCAGAUGAGGCACUUCGGUGUCAAAGUUUAUUCGGAUAAGGAUAAGCCUGCGUCUGAUUAGCUAGUUGGUGAGAUAAAAGCUCACCAAGGCGACGAUCAGUAGCUGGUCUGAGAGGAUGAUCAGCCACACUGGAACUGAGACACGGUCCAGACUCCUACGGGAGGCAGCAGUGAGGAAUAUUGGUCAAUGGGCGCAAGCCUGAACCAGCAACGCCGCGUGAGGGAUGACAAGGCUCUGCCUUGUAAACCUCUGUCGGAUGGGAAGAAAAGCCGGGUCGCCCGGCUGGGACUGUACCAUUAGAGGAAGGGUCGGCUAACUACGUGCCAGCAGCCGCGGUAAUACGUAGGACCCAAGCGUUGUCCGGAUUUACUGGGUGUAAAGGGUGCGUAGGCGGACUCGUGCGUCAGAGGUUAAAUCCCACCGCUUAACGGUGGAACUGCCUUUGAUACGGCAAGUCUUGAAUGCGAGAGAGGAUGAUGGAAUUCCUGGUGUAGCGGUGAAAUGCGUAGAUAUCAGGAGGAACACCAGUGGCGAAGGCGGUCAUCUGGCUCGUUAUUGACGCUGAGGCACGAAAGCGUGGGGAUCAAACAGGAUUAGAUACCCUGGUAGUCCACGCCCUAAACGAUGUAUGCUUGGUGCUGGGAACUUGUUCUCGGUGCCGAAGGAAACCCAUUAAGCAUACCACCUGGGGAGUACGAUCGCAAGGUUGAAACUCAAAGGAAUUGACGG